CCUACGGGAGGCUGCAGUGAGGAAUAUUGGUCAAUGGACGAGAGUCUGAACCAGCCAAGUAGCGUGAAGGAUGACUGCCCUAUGGGUUGUAAACUUCUUUUAUAUGGGAAUAAAACGUUCCACGUGUGGGAUUUUGUAUGUACCAUAUGAAUAAGGAUCGGCUAACUCCGUGCCAGCAGCCGCGGUAAUACUGAGGAUCCGAGCGUUAUCCGGAUUUAUUGGGUUUAAAUGGAGCGUAGGUGGAUUGUUAAGUCAGUUGUGAAAGUUUGCGGCUCAACCGUAAAAUUGCAGUUGAAACUGGCAGUCUGGAGGACAGGAGAGGUGGGCGGAAUUCGUGGUGUAGCGGUGAAAUGCUUAGAUAUCACGAAGAACUCCGAUUGCGAAGGCAGUUCACUGGACUGCAACUGACACUGAGGCUCGAAAGUGUGGGUAUCAAACAGGAUUAGAUACCCCUGUAGUC
This 460-nucleotide ribosomal RNA is filed under the name uncultured bacterium. RNAcentral's name for it is "partial 16S ribosomal RNA". It matches the Rfam family "Bacterial small subunit ribosomal RNA", at positions 338 to 795 of the family's 1533-position model. The record is from RNAcentral.